AUAUGGGGGCUUAACACCAUGGACACGCCUGAUCUCUAAGCAUGGAAGCUUAGCAUGGUCGGGCCUGGUUAGAACUUGGAUGGGAGACCGCCUGGGAAUACCAGGUGCUGUAAGUG
This 116-nucleotide ribosomal RNA is filed under the name Gadus morhua (Atlantic cod). The record is from RNAcentral. Lineage: Eukaryota; Metazoa; Chordata; Actinopteri; Gadiformes; Gadidae.